CGUCAAAUCAUCAUGCCCCUUAUGACCUGGGCUACACACGUACUACAAUGGGCAGAAACAGAGGGAAGCGAAAUAGCGAUAUGGAGCAAAACCCUAAACCUGUUCUCAGUUCGGAUUGCAGGCUGCAACCCGCCUGUAUGAAGUCGGAAUUGCUAGUAAUCUCGGAUCAGCAUGUCGAGGUGAAUACGUUCCCGGGUCUU
RNAcentral lists this ribosomal RNA (200 nucleotides) under uncultured prokaryote. RNAcentral describes it as "partial 16S ribosomal RNA". It matches the Rfam family "Bacterial small subunit ribosomal RNA", at positions 1183 to 1382 of the family's 1533-position model. The record is from RNAcentral.